GACGAACGCUGGCGGCGUGCUUAACACAUGCAAGUCGUACGGUAAGGCCCUUUCGGGGGUACACGAGUGGCGAACGGGUGAGUAACACGUGAGUAACCUGCCCACAACUUUGGGAUAACGCUAGGAAACUGGUGCUAAUACUGGAUAUGUGCUCCUGCUGCAUGGUGGGGGUUGGAAAGCUCCGGCGGUUGUGGAUGGACUCGCGGCCUAUCAGCUUGUUGGUGGGGUAGUGGCCUACCAAGGCGGCGACGGGUAGCCGGCCUGAGAGGGUGACCGGCCACAUUGGGACUGAGAUACGGCCCAGACUCCUACGGGAGGAAGCAGUGGGGAAUAUUGCACAAUGGGCGCAAGCCUGAUGCAGCAACGCCGCGUGCGGGAGGACGGCCUUCGGGUUGUAAACCGCUUUCAGCAGGGACGAAGCUUUUUGUGACGGUACCUGCAGAAGAAGCACCGGCUAACUACGUG
This 465-nucleotide ribosomal RNA is filed under the name uncultured bacterium. Its description in RNAcentral is "partial 16S ribosomal RNA". It matches the Rfam family "Bacterial small subunit ribosomal RNA", at positions 28 to 507 of the family's 1533-position model. The record is from RNAcentral.